Molecule: long non-coding RNA, 258 nt
Filed under: Glycine max (soybean)
Lineage: Eukaryota; Viridiplantae; Streptophyta; Magnoliopsida; Fabales; Fabaceae
Description: long non-coding RNA (GMAX_LNC004179)
Source: RNAcentral
CAAAAUGUUAUUUCAGGAACAUGAUUUAGAUGGUAAUGAAGAUGUGAGCCGACGAUAAAAUGUUCAAGUGUUUGGUUUUUACUUUGUCUAUUGGUCCAGCAACUCGAAUUAACUCUUUUAUACAUUUAGAAAUUUAGAAACUUGUUACAUUUUAGUGAUGAUUCCCUCCAUGUAAAGAGGGUCAUGGUGCACCAAAAAUAUACACUUAGGAAGGACUAUGCACAUGGUACUAAAAAACAAGGCAAAGUGAAUUGGAAA